CCUACGGGAGGCAGCAGUGGGGAAUAUUGCACAAUGGGGGGAACCCUGAUGCAGCGACGCCGCGUGGGUGAAGGAGUAUUUCGGUAUGUAAAGCCCUAUCGGCCGGGAAGAAUUUAGUCGGUACCUUACUAAGAAGCCCCGGCUAACUACGUGCCAGCAGCCGCGGUAAUACGUAGGGUGCAAGCUUUAUCCGGAUGUACGGGGUGUAAAGGUAUCGUAGACGGUCAGGCAAGCCUGGAGUGAAAGCCCUGGGCACAAGCCCGGGACGGCACUGGGAACCGGCAGGUUGGAGGGGGGGAGGGGGGGGCGGAAUUCCUGGUGUAGCGGUGAAAUGCGUAGAUAUCAGGAGGAAGAACGGUGGCGAAGGCGGCCUGCUGGACCGAGACUGACGUUGAGGCUCGAAAGCGUGGGGAGCGAACAGGAGUAGAUACCCGUGUAGUC
This 441-nucleotide ribosomal RNA is filed under the name uncultured bacterium. RNAcentral describes it as "partial 16S ribosomal RNA". It matches the Rfam family "Bacterial small subunit ribosomal RNA", at positions 338 to 795 of the family's 1533-position model. The record is from RNAcentral.